This 698-nucleotide ribosomal RNA is filed under the name uncultured Rhabdolaimus. RNAcentral describes it as "SSU rRNA". It matches the Rfam family "Eukaryotic small subunit ribosomal RNA", at positions 708 to 1430 of the family's 1831-position model. The record is from RNAcentral. Lineage: Eukaryota; Metazoa; Nematoda; Enoplea; Enoplida; Rhabdolaimidae.
CGCUCUAGGUGCUCUUCACUGAGUGUCUAGAGUGGCUGGAACUUUUACUUUGAAAAAAUUAGAGUGCUCAAAGCAGGCGUCUCAGCCUGAAUAGUGGUGCAUGGAAUAAUGGAAUAGGACCUCAGUUCUAUUUUGUUGGUUUUCGGAACAUGAGGUAAUGAUUAAGAGGGACAGACGGGGGCAUUCGUAUUGCGACGUUAGAGGUGAAAUUCUUGGAUCGUCGCAAGACGAACUACUGCGGAAGCAUUUGCCAAGAAUGUUUUCAUUAAUCAAGGACGAUUGUUAGAGGUUCGAAGGCGAUCAGAUACCGCCCUUGUUCUAACCGUAAACGAUGUCAACCAGCGAUCCGCAGGUGUUAUUCAUGACUCUGCGGGCAGCUUCCGGGAAACCAAAGUUUUUGGAUUCCGGGGGGAGUAUGGUUGCAAAGCUGAAACUUAAAGGAAUUGACGGAAGGGCACCACCAGGAGAGGAGCCUGCGGCUUUUUUUGACUCAACGCGGGGUUACUCUCCCGGCCCGGACACCGUUAGGUUUGUCUGUUUGAGAGCUCUUUCUUGAUUCGGUGGGUGGUGGUGCAUGGCCGUUCUUAGUUGGUGGAGCGAUUUGUCUGGUUAAUUCCGAUAACGAACGAGACUCUAGCCUACUAAAAUAGAAGGCAAAAUAUUCGUUUGCUGUACUUCUUAGAGGGACUAGGGGCGUC